GCCUGUGUGUUUCCACAGAGCCGUUUCCUCCCUGGGUCAUCGUUCUGCUGGUUCUGCUCAGUGUGACUCUGACUGCUACUACUGUCCUGGUGUAUAAGUACAGACACUACUUCAACUCAGCCCCGGCGGCCCAGCAGCAGCAGGAGGAUGAUGAUGACUACGAUGAUGAAGAUGAUGAGACGAAGAUGAACUCAGAGGAUUAACAUCAUAAACAUUUCUGGACUCAUCGAGUUUCUGCUUCUUUAAAUCCGAUUCCUGGAUCAACAUUUCAGAUAAACUUUAUAUUUUUAAUCUAAAAUUACGUUUAUUCUACUGGUUUUAUUUAAAUUCAUGUUUGGUGGAAAUUUAAACUGAUUACUAAGUUGAAAACAUCCAAACAUUAAUAUGCACUGAUUUUACUGAAUUGAUGUAAAUAAUCUGUAUUUAAUAAUUUCUUUAACCUCCAGCUAACA
Molecule: long non-coding RNA, 452 nt
Organism: Xiphophorus hellerii (green swordtail)
Lineage: Eukaryota; Metazoa; Chordata; Actinopteri; Cyprinodontiformes; Poeciliidae
Exons: 2
Source: RefSeq, a predicted model, not a curated record